RNAcentral lists this ribosomal RNA (435 nucleotides) under uncultured bacterium. Its description in RNAcentral is "bacterial SSU rRNA". It matches the Rfam family "Bacterial small subunit ribosomal RNA", at positions 308 to 735 of the family's 1533-position model. The record is from RNAcentral.
CCACACUGGGACUGAGACACGGCCCAGACUCCUACGGGAGGCAGCAGUGGGGAAUUUUGGACAAUGGGGGAAACCCUGAUCCAGCAAUGCCGCGUGCAGGAUGAAGGCCUUCGGGUUGUAAACUGCUUUUGUACGGAACGAAAAGGUCUUUUCUAAUAAAGAGGGCCCAUGACGGUACCGUAAGAAUAAGCACCGGCUAACUACGUGCCAGCAGCCGCGGUAAUACGUAGGGUGCAAGCGUUAAUCGGAAUUACUGGGCGUAAAGCGUGCGCAGGCGGUUAUAUAAGACAGAUGUGAAAUCCCCGGGCUCAACCUGGGAACUGCAUUAGUGACUGUAUAGCUAGAGUGCGGCAGAGGGGGAUGGAAUUCCGCGUGUAGCAGUGAAAUGCGUAGAUAUGCGGAGGAACACCGAUGGCGAAGGCAAUCCCCUGGGCC